UACGGGGGGGGCGAGCGUUGUUCGGAAUUACUGGGCGUAAAGGGCUCGUAGGCGGCCAACUAAGUCCGACGUGAAAUCCCCAGGCUCAACCUGGGAACUGCGUCGGAUACUGGAUGGCUUGAAUUCGGGAGAGGGAUGCAGAAUUCCAGGUGUAGCGGUGAAAUGCGUAGAUAUCUGGAGGAAUACCGGUGGCGAAGGCGGCAUCCUGGACCGACAUUGACGCUGAGGAGCGAAAGCUAGGGGAGCAAACGGG
RNAcentral lists this ribosomal RNA (253 nucleotides) under uncultured bacterium. Its description in RNAcentral is "partial 16S ribosomal RNA". It matches the Rfam family "Bacterial small subunit ribosomal RNA", at positions 524 to 776 of the family's 1533-position model. The record is from RNAcentral.